RNAcentral lists this ribosomal RNA (492 nucleotides) under uncultured bacterium. RNAcentral's name for it is "partial 16S ribosomal RNA". It matches the Rfam family "Bacterial small subunit ribosomal RNA", at positions 29 to 507 of the family's 1533-position model. The record is from RNAcentral.
AGUGAACGCUGGCGGUAGGCCUAACACAUGCAAGUCGAACGGCAGCACAGUAAGAGCUUGCUCUUACGGGUGGCGAGUGGCGGACGGGUGAGGAAUACAUCGGAAUCUACUUUUUCGUGGGGGAUAACGUAGGGAAACUUACGCUAAUACCGCAUACGACCUACGGGUGAAAGCAGGGGAUCUUCGGACCUUGCGCGAUUGAAUGAGCCGAUGUCGGAUUAGCUAGUUGGCGGGGUAAAGGCCCACCAAGGCGACGAUCCGUAGCUGGUCUGAGAGGAUGACGAGCAACACUGGAACUGGAACACGGUCCAGACUCCUACGGGAGGAGGCAGUGGGGAAUAUUGGACAAUGGGCGCAAGCCUGAUCCAGCCAUACCGCGUGGGUGAAGAAGGCCUUCGGGUUGUAAAGCCCUUUUGUUGGGAAAGAAAAGCAGCAGGUUAAUACCCCGCUGUUCUGACGGUACCCAAAGAAUAAGCACCGGCUAACUUCGUG